Molecule: long non-coding RNA, 392 nt
Filed under: Cicer arietinum (chickpea)
Lineage: Eukaryota; Viridiplantae; Streptophyta; Magnoliopsida; Fabales; Fabaceae
Description: long non-coding RNA (CARI_LNC003414)
Source: RNAcentral
UAUAUAGUUUCUGAAAAACCAACUACGAAAUCGAUUUCCCAAUCGAUUUUGUAAAGUUAUAAAAGGUGCUAAAUCGAUUUGCCAAUCGAUUAUCGCGAUCUUGGUUUUCUUUAAUCUUGAAACUAUACAAGCUAAUCGAUUUACCAAUCGAUUCUUUAAAAGCAACACUUUUCAGUAGAACAUGUCCAGACUUGUAUAAAUCGAUUUCCUAAUCGAUUUCUGGGAAACUGUUUCAAUAAAAGUAAUUUCAAUCGAUUACUCAAUCGAUUUGCCAAAUCUCAGAGUCGAUGUAUAAAAACACAGAGUCGAUUUGGUCACAAUCUCAGAGUUCACUGUGUUUUCAAAAAGUUUAUUUCAAUCGAUUUGCCAAUCGAUUGUUUUCAAAACAGUGG